Molecule: ribosomal RNA, 373 nt
Filed under: uncultured organism
Description: bacterial SSU rRNA
Rfam family: Bacterial small subunit ribosomal RNA
Source: RNAcentral
CGGAGGAUCCAAGCGUUAUCCGGAAUUACUGGGCGUAAAGAGUUGCGUAGGUGGUUUGUUAAGCAAAUAGUGAAAGCGUAGGGCUCAACCCUAUAUCCAUUAUUUGAACUGGCAGACUUGAGGAUGAGAGAGGUCGCUGGAAUUGCUAGUGUAGGAGUGAAAUCCGUAGAUAUUAGCAGGAACACCGAUGGCGUAGGCAGGCGACUGGCUCAUUCCUGACACUAAGGCACGAAAGCGUGGGGAGCAAACGGGAUUAGAUACCCCGGUAGUCCACGCCGUAAACUAUGGAUGCUAGCUGUUAACCGUAUCGACCCGGUUAGUAGCGAAGCUAACGCGUUAAGCAUCCCGCCUGUGGAGUACGGUCGCAAGACUA